UACAGAGGUGGCAAGCGUUGUUCGGAAUCACUGGGCGUAAAGGGCGCGUAGGCGGGUCCGCAAGUCGAUCGUGAAAUCCUUCGGCUCAACUGCAGGGGGUCGGUCGAUACUGCGGGUCUUGAGGGAUGCAGAGGAGACUGGAAUUCCCGGUGUAGCGGUGAAAUGUGUAGAGAUCGGGAGGAACACCGGUGGCGAAGGCGGGUCUCUGGGCAUCUCCUGACGCUGAGGCGCGAAAGCGUGGGGAGCAAACGGG
This 253-nucleotide ribosomal RNA is filed under the name uncultured bacterium. Its description in RNAcentral is "partial 16S ribosomal RNA". It matches the Rfam family "Bacterial small subunit ribosomal RNA", at positions 524 to 776 of the family's 1533-position model. The record is from RNAcentral.